ACUCCUACGGGAGGCAGCAGUGGGGAAUAUUGCACAAUGGAGGGAACUCUGAUGCAGCGACGCCGCGUGAGUGAAGAAGGUCUUCGGAUCGUAAAACUCUGUCCUUGGGGAAGAAAAGGACGGUAGCCAAGGAGGAAGCCCCCGCUAACUACGUGCCAGCAGCCGCGGUAAUA
Molecule: ribosomal RNA, 173 nt
Filed under: uncultured bacterium
Lineage: Bacteria
Description: partial 16S ribosomal RNA
Rfam family: Bacterial small subunit ribosomal RNA
Source: RNAcentral